This 86-nucleotide non-coding RNA is filed under the name Gracilibacillus halophilus. Its description in RNAcentral is "c-di-GMP sequence". It matches the Rfam family "c-di-GMP-I riboswitch aptamer". Rfam says of the family: GEMM was predicted in a large-scale screen for bacterial structured RNA regulatory elements. Lineage: Bacteria; Bacillati; Bacillota; Bacilli; Caryophanales; Bacillaceae. The record is from RNAcentral.
AAACCGAAAGGGCAAACUUGCUGAAAAGUAAGGACGCAAAGCUACGGGUCUAAGGGUACGUUUACUAUGAUCGCCGAGCCGCCGAA